AGGGAUGUAGCUCAGUGGUAGAGUGCUUGCCUAGUAUACACGAGGCCCUGAGUUCAAUCCUCAGCACCACCA
This 72-nucleotide transfer RNA is filed under the name Fukomys damarensis (Damara mole-rat). It matches the Rfam family "tRNA". Rfam says of the family: Transfer RNA (tRNA) molecules are approximately 80 nucleotides in length. The record is from Rfam by way of RNAcentral. Lineage: Eukaryota; Metazoa; Chordata; Mammalia; Rodentia; Bathyergidae.